GUGAAACGCCCGGCGCUUAACGUCAGGAAUUGCAUUUUGAUACUGCUGAACUUGAAUCAGCGUUGAGGUGGGCGGAAUGAUGGCAUGUAGUCGGUGAAAUGCAUAGAUAUGCCCAUAGAACACCAAUUGCGAAGAGCAGCUCAUCUGGCCCUGAAUUGACACUGAGCGCACGAAAGCGUGGGGAGCGAAACAGGAUUUAGAUACCCUGGUAGUCCACGCCCCUAAACGAUGCUUACUCGAUAUAUCGGUUCGUAAGACGGAGUGUCCAAGGCGAAACCGAUAAGUAAGCCACCUGGGAGAGUUACGUUCGCAAGAAUGAAACUCCAAAGGAAUUGACGGGGGUCCGCACAAAGUCGGUGGAGCAUGUGGUUUAAUUCCGAUGAUACGCGAGGAACCUUACCUGGGCAUCUAAUGCGCGUGACCGAUCCUGCAAAGGGAUUUUCUCUUCGGAGCACAAAGCAAGGUGCUGCAUGGCUGUCGUCACGCUCG
RNAcentral lists this ribosomal RNA (489 nucleotides) under uncultured bacterium. Its description in RNAcentral is "bacterial SSU rRNA". It matches the Rfam family "Bacterial small subunit ribosomal RNA", at positions 593 to 1062 of the family's 1533-position model. The record is from RNAcentral.